RNAcentral lists this ribosomal RNA (546 nucleotides) under uncultured Penicillium. Its description in RNAcentral is "eukaryotic LSU rRNA". The stretch from base 186 to 339 matches the Rfam family "5.8S ribosomal RNA". Lineage: Eukaryota; Fungi; Ascomycota; Eurotiomycetes; Eurotiales; Aspergillaceae. The record is from RNAcentral.
CGUAACAAGGUUUCCGUAGGUGAACCUGCGGAAGGAUCAUUACCUAGAGUUUGUAGACUUCGGUCUGCUACCUCUUACCCAUGUCUUUUGAGUACCUUCGUUUCCUCGGCGGGUCCGCCCGCCGAUUGGACAACAUUCAAACCCUUUGCAGUUGCAAUCAGCGUCUGAAAAAACAUAAUAGUUACAACUUUCAACAACGGAUCUCUUGGUUCUGGCAUCGAUGAAGAACGCAGCGAAAUGCGAUAAGUAGUGUGAAUUGCAGAAUUCAGUGAAUCAUCGAAUCUUUGAACGCACAUUGCGCCCCUUGGUAUUCCAUGGGGCAUGCCUGUUCGAGCGUCAUUUGUACCUUCAAGCUCUGCUUGGUGUUGGGUGUUUGUCUCGCCUCUGCGUGUAGACUCGCCUUAAAACAAUUGGCAGCCGGCGUAUUGAUUUCGGAGCGCAGUACAUCUCGCGCUUUGCACUCAUAACGACGACGUCCAAAAGUACAUUUUUACACUCUUGACCUCGGAUCAGGUAGGGAUACCCGCUGAACUUAAGCAUAUCAAU